Molecule: ribosomal RNA, 441 nt
Filed under: Streptococcus agalactiae STIR-CD-17
Lineage: Bacteria; Bacillati; Bacillota; Bacilli; Lactobacillales; Streptococcaceae
Description: bacterial LSU rRNA
Rfam family: Bacterial large subunit ribosomal RNA
Source: RNAcentral
AGGUUAAGUUAAUAAGGGCGCACGGUGGAUGCCUUGGCACUAGAAGCCGAAGAAGGACGUGACUAACGACGAAAUGCUUUGGGGAGCUGUAAGUAAGCGCUGAUCCAGAGAUGUCCGAAUGGGGGAACCCGGCAUGUAAUGCAUGUCAUCCAUGACUGUUAAGGUUAUGAGAAGGAAGACGCAGUGAACUGAAACAUCUAAGUAGCUGCAGGAAGAGAAAGCAAACGCGAUUGCCUUAGUAGCGGCGAGCGAAACGGCAGGAGGGCAAACCGAGGAGUUUACUCCUCGGGGUUGUAGGACUGCGAAGUGGGACAUAAAGUUUAUAGAAGAAUUACCUGGGAAGGUAAGCCAAAGAGAGUAACAGCCUCGUAUUUAAAAUUGACUUUAGCCCUAGCAGUAUCCUGAGUACGGCGAGACACGCGAAAUCUCGUCGGAAUCUGG